GGCUGCCCAGAAAUCUGAGAGAAAAUAAGACAUGUAAAGUCCUGCUCACCCAUGAAAGUUUCUAAAUACAGGAGCUCUGAUUCUAAAAUCAUCUCCAUUUAUAUUGGUUUAUCUUUUUAAGACACUUUGUUGUUUCAGAGCUACCUUGCCAUGAAGAUUCAUUACCUUUUCUUUGCUCUUUUCUUCCUUGGCCAGCUGUCUACCUCAGGAACUGAAGAUGCUUAUGAAGUCAUUAGUAUCAUGGACUGUAAAAAUCAAACACUGUGUAAUUCUCAGAAUACAACUAGACACUGCUCUCAUGGGAAGGAGAUUGAACUAUGUGUCUUGCGUCUUGGAAAAAAUGCAAAGCGACUCACUAACCAUGAAGAAACAGCAAAUUAGGAAGACAGGAUGAUCAAUUUCCUUGUCUUAUUAAAAAAUAAAGUCUGCUUUCUUUUCUCUCUCCUUUUAUUCUCUAGUGACACAUUUAUUUAUUGACAGUUUGGACAAAAGUUUAUCAAGGAACUUUUCACGCUUAGGAUGAAUUACAACAAGAACCAACAUUUCUUUAGUUCCAGCAGCUCUAUGCAACUCAUUUUCAUCUAGCAUUACCUCUCCAAAACCUGAAUCUCCACAAGAAAGCCACACAGCAAUUAACCAGUGUUGCAAGAACUGCUUCUGUAAUAAAGGUGGGAAGACAAAUUGAUGCAACCCUCUUGAAAAGCAAUCUGGCAAUAUGAACCAAGAGCCAUGAAAAGGCUUAUGCUAUUAUAAUUAAAUGGCUGUAAUGUUGGCUGUAAAUAUGAAAUUUUCUUUCACACACCAAUGUUUUCAAGAAUGGCAUAUUCACAUGCAGUAUGUGAUGAAAGAAGCAGUAAAGGAUGCUAACAAAGCUAUUUCUUUGGACAAUCUGAACCUGACGGAGUCUUACUCUGUCGCCCAGGCAGGAGUGCAAUGGCACAAUCUUGGCUCACCACAACCUCCGCCUCCUGGGUUCAAGUGACUCUCCUGCCUGGCCAUAGAAGCAAACACAAACAUAGAGGAAUUGGCUUUGGGCAGAUGGAAGGACCUCAGAGAAAAGAAACAAAGGAAAGAAAACUGGAUGGAUAAAGGUUUGUAGAAAUACUAUUCACAGGAAGCAAAUAGGAAUUCCUUAUCGCUAAACAGACACUAAGUCAAUUGGUACUACCCAUUCUUAUUUAACAUGUGAGGAAACUGAAACCUGAAGAGGUCAUGGAAGUUCUGUGUGGCCACACCAAUGGUAGACAGCAGAACCAGAUUUCAAACCAGCUUUUUCUCCAGCAUUAUUCUUCAUGAGAAGAAUAAUUAAACUUAUUGUGUAAUAAAGUGUGUUUUUAAGGUAUAA
This 1345-nucleotide long non-coding RNA is filed under the name Homo sapiens (human). RNAcentral's name for it is "HSALNT0342767". The record is from RNAcentral. Lineage: Eukaryota; Metazoa; Chordata; Mammalia; Primates; Hominidae.